RNAcentral lists this ribosomal RNA (468 nucleotides) under uncultured bacterium. RNAcentral's name for it is "partial 16S ribosomal RNA". It matches the Rfam family "Bacterial small subunit ribosomal RNA", at positions 28 to 507 of the family's 1533-position model. The record is from RNAcentral.
GACGAACGCUGGCGGCGUGCUUAAUACAUGCAAGUCGAACGGACAGGCGCUGCUUUUGUGGGGUGCUCGAGUGGCGAACGGGUGUGUAACACGUGAGUAACAUGCCCUUGACUUUGGGAUAACUUCUGGGAACAGGGGCUCAAACCGGGUAGAAGCUCCUGCUGCAUGGUGUGGGUUGGAAAGAUUCGGCGGUUGGAGAUCGACUCGCGGCUUAUCAGCUAGUUGGUGGGGUAGUGGCUUACCAAGGCUUUGACGGGUAGCCGGCCUGAGAGCGUGACCGGCCACAUGGGUACUGAGAUACGGAGCAGUAGCCUACGGGAGGCAGCAGGCGGAAAUAUGACACAGCGGGCGCAAGCGUGAUGCAGCAGUGCCGCGAUCGUGAUGACGUCUUUCUAGUUAAGAACCGCUUUCUCAGGUAACAAAGACGGAGUGACGGUAAUUAGUAAGGAAGCACCGGCUAACUACGUG